Molecule: ribosomal RNA, 338 nt
Filed under: Griseargiolestes albescens (coastal flatwing damselfly)
Lineage: Eukaryota; Metazoa; Arthropoda; Insecta; Odonata; Argiolestidae
Description: partial 12S ribosomal RNA
Source: RNAcentral
GUAUUAGUUAAGUUCUUGAAACCCAAAGGAUUUGGCGGUAUUUUAGUCUUCUCAGAGGAGCCUGCCACUUAAACGACAGUCCACGAUUUUAUUUACUUGAAUUUGUUUAUCAGUUUGUAUACCUCCGUCAUAAGAGUUUCUUUUUAGGGUAAAUUCUCUUGAUUAUGUUAAUAUUCAUAUGUCAGGUCAAGGUGCAGCUCAUAUUUAAGUGUAGGUGGGCUACAAUAAUUUUAUUUACACGGACAUGUUUCUUUAUAGUUUCAUUUAAGGUGGAUUUGAAGGUAAAUUUUUUGAUUUAAAUUUUUGAUUUUGGCUCUAGAAUAUGCACACAUCGCCCG